Molecule: ribosomal RNA, 448 nt
Filed under: uncultured bacterium
Lineage: Bacteria
Description: partial 16S ribosomal RNA
Rfam family: Bacterial small subunit ribosomal RNA
Source: RNAcentral
UCACCAGACUCCUACGGGAGGCAGCAGUGGGGAAUAUUGCACAAUGGGGGGAACCCUGAUGCAGCGACGCCGCGUGGGUGAAGGAGCACCUCGGUGCGUAAAUCCCUAUCGGCAGGGAAGAAACAGACGGUACCUGACUAAGAAGCCCCGGCUAACUGCGUGCCAGCCGCCGCGGUAAUACGUAGGGGGCAAGCGUUAUCCGGAUUCACUGGGUGUAAAGGGAGCGUAGACGGCGAGGCAAGUCUGGAGUGAAAGCCCGGGGCCCAACCCCGGGACUGCUCUGGAAACUGCGGCGCUGGAGUACGGGAGGGGCAGGCGGAAUUCCUGGUGUAGCGGUGAAAUGCGUAGAUAUCAGGAGGAACACCAGUGGCGAAGGCGGCCUGCCGGACGAUGACUGACGCUGAGGCUCGAAAGCGUGGGGAGCAAACAGGAUUAGAUACCCGGGUAA